UACACACCGCCCGUCAAGCCACGAAAGGGAGGGGCAUCCGAAGUCGCCGUGUCAACCGCAAGGAGACAAGCGCCGAAGAUGAAACUCCUGAUUGGGACU
This 99-nucleotide ribosomal RNA is filed under the name uncultured bacterium. Its description in RNAcentral is "partial 16S ribosomal RNA". It matches the Rfam family "Bacterial small subunit ribosomal RNA", at positions 1384 to 1482 of the family's 1533-position model. The record is from RNAcentral.